UGUGUCCAGCCAGCAGACCACAACCUGG
Molecule: non-coding RNA, 28 nt
Filed under: Mus musculus (house mouse)
Lineage: Eukaryota; Metazoa; Chordata; Mammalia; Rodentia; Muridae
Source: RNAcentral